Molecule: ribosomal RNA, 254 nt
Filed under: uncultured bacterium
Lineage: Bacteria
Description: partial 16S ribosomal RNA
Rfam family: Bacterial small subunit ribosomal RNA
Source: RNAcentral
UACGUAGGGUGCGAGCGUUAAUCGGAAUUACUGGGCGUAAAGCGUGCGCAGGCGGUCUGUUAAGACCGAUGUGAAAUCCCCGGGCUUAACCUGGGAACUGCAUUGGUGACUGGCAGGCUUUGAGUGUGGCAGAGGGAGGUAGAAUUCCACGUGUAGCAGUGAAAUGCGUAGAGAUGUGGAGGAACACCGAUGGCGAAGGCAGCCCCCUGGGCCAAUACUGACGCUCAUGCACGAAAGCGUGGGGAGCAAACAGG